This 479-nucleotide ribosomal RNA is filed under the name uncultured bacterium. Its description in RNAcentral is "partial 16S ribosomal RNA". It matches the Rfam family "Bacterial small subunit ribosomal RNA", at positions 28 to 507 of the family's 1533-position model. The record is from RNAcentral.
GAUGAACGCUGGCGGCGUGCUUAACACAUGCAAGUCGAGCGAGAAGUUUUGAAAAGAUUCUUCGGAUGAAAUUUAAAAUGGAAAGCGGCGGACGGGUGAGUAACGCGUAGGCAACCUGCCCCAUACAAAGGGAUAGCAUUUGGAAACGAAUAUUAAUACCUUAUGAAACUUAACUAGUGCAUGCUAGGUAGGUCAAAGAUUUAUCGGUAUGGGAUGGGCCUGCGUCUGAUUAGCUAGUUGGUGAGGUAACGGCUCACCAAGGCGACGAUCAGUAGCCGACCUGAGAGGGUGAACGGCCACAUUGGAACUGAGACACGGUCCAAACUCCUACGGGAGGCAGCAGUGGGGAAUAUUGCACAAUGGGGGAAACCCUGAUGCAGCAACGCCGCGUGAACGAUGAAGGCCGUUGGGGCGUAAAGUUCUGUUCUAGGUGAUGAAAACUGACAGUAACCGAGGAGAAAGCCCCGGCUAACUCCGUG